Molecule: ribosomal RNA, 1010 nt
Filed under: uncultured bacterium
Lineage: Bacteria
Description: bacterial SSU rRNA
Rfam family: Bacterial small subunit ribosomal RNA
Source: RNAcentral
GGGGAAUAUUGCACAAUGGGCGCAAGCCUGAUGCAGCGACGCCGCGUGAGGGAUGGAGGCCUUCGGGUUGUAAACCUCUUUUAUCGGGGAGCAAGCGAGAGUGAGUUUACCCGUUGAAUAAGCACCGGCUAACUACGUGCCAGCAGCCGCGGUAAUACGUAGGGUGCAAGCGUUAUCCGGAAUUAUUGGGCGUAAAGGGCUCGUAGGCGGUUCGUCGCGUCCGGUGUGAAAGUCCAUCGCUUAACGGUGGAUCCGCGCCGGGUACGGGCGGGCUUGAGUGCGGUAGGGGAGACUGGAAUUCCCGGUGUAACGGUGGAAUGUGUAGAUAUCGGGAAGAACACCAAUGGCGAAGGCAGGUCUCUGGGCCGUUACUGACGCUGAGGAGCGAAAGCGUGGGGAGCGAACAGGAUUAGAUACCCUGGUAGUCCACGCCGUAAACGGUGGAUGCUGGAUGUGGGGCCCGUUCCACGGGUUCCGUGUCGGAGCUAACGCGUUAAGCAUCCCGCCUGGGGAGUACGGCCGCAAGGCUAAAACUCAAAGAAAUUGACGGGGGCCCGCACAAGCGGCGGAGCAUGCGGAUUAAUUCGAUGCAACGCGAAGAACCUUACCUGGGCUUGACAUGUUCCCGACGGUCGUAGAGAUACGGCUUCCCUUCGGGGCGGGUUCACAGGUGGUGCAUGGUCGUCGUCAGCUCGUGCCGUGAGAUGUUGGGUUAAGUCCCGCAACGAGCGCAACCCUCGCCCCGUGUUGCCAGCGGAUUAUGCCGGGAACUCACGGGGGACCGCCGGGGUUAACUCGGAGGAAGGUGGGGAUGACGUCAGAUCAUCAUGCCCCUUACGUCCAGGGCUUCACGCAUGCUACAAUGGCCGGUACAACGGGAUGCGACGCGGCGACGCGGAGCGGAUCCCUGAAAACCGGUCUCAGUUCGGAUCGCAGUCUGCAACUCGACUGCGUGAAGGCGGAGUCGCUAGUAAUCGCGAAUCAGCAACGUCGCGGUGAAUGCGUUCCCG